UACGGGAGGCAGCAGUGGGGAAUAUUGCACAAUGGGCGCAAGCCUGAUGCAGCCAUGCCGCGUGUAUGAAGAAGGCCUUCGGGUUGUAAAGUACUUUCAGUCGUGAGGAAGGUGUUAAGGUUAAUAACCUUAGCAAUUGACGUUAGCGACAGAAGAAGCACCGGCUAACUCCGUGCCAGCAGCCGCGGUAAUACGGAGGGUGCGAGCGUUAAUCGGAAUUACUGGGCGUAAAGGGCGCGCAGGCGGUUAAUUAAGUUGGAUGUGAAAUCCCCGGGCUUAACCUGGGAAUGGCAUUCAAGACUGGUUAGCUAGAGUCUUGUAGAGGGGGUAGAAUUCCAUGUGUAGCGGUGAAAUGCGUAGAGAUGUGGAGGAAUACCGGUGGCGAAGGCGGCCCCUGGACAAAGACUGACGCUCAUGUGCGAAAAGCGUGGGGAGCAAAACAGGGAUUAGAUACC
RNAcentral lists this ribosomal RNA (455 nucleotides) under uncultured bacterium. RNAcentral's name for it is "bacterial SSU rRNA". It matches the Rfam family "Bacterial small subunit ribosomal RNA", at positions 340 to 786 of the family's 1533-position model. The record is from RNAcentral.